AAGCUAUCGACUCUGUUGAAGAAUGGGCUGGGAAAUGGGGAUUCAGGUUCUCUGUUGAGAAAACUAAGGUAGUAUUCUUCUCAUUUAAAAAAAUUGAAGAAAGUUUUAAAUUCCAGUUGUAUGGUAGAGAUUUAAAAAGAGUAAAUUGUAUGAGAUUUUUAGGUAUGCAUUUUGAUUCUAAGCUUACAUGGCAUAAUCAUAUUGAAAAUAUUGUUGACAAAUGUAAAAAAGUCAUUAACAUAAUUAGGUGCUUGUGCAAUAAGGAGUGGGGAGCAGAUAUGACUUCAAUGAAAAGAUUAUAUGUUGGAUUAAUUAGGUCUAUUGUUGACUACGGGUGCAUGGCUUAUGGGUCUGCUGCAAAGUCUGAAUUAAAGAAGCUUGAUGUUAUUCAGGGUUUGGCCCUUAGGAUAUGUUCAGGAGUAAUGAGAACCUCCCCUAUAUCAGCGCUUCAGGUUGAAGUAGGUGAAAUGCCAUUUGAGUUGAGGCGACUGCAAAUGUCAUUGUCGUAUUAUGUUCAAUUAAAAGGACAUAUUGAAGACCAUCCCACUAAAAGUGUCCUCAUCUUAACAUGGGAGCAGGAAAAAAGUAAAAGAGAGUCGUUUAGUGCAAGUAUUCAUGAAAAGGUAAAGCAAGCAGCUUUAGAAAAUUAUGAAUUUAGUCCAUCUGUAGUCUAUUCACCGCACCCACCGUGGAUGCUACUGGUACCGGACACUGAUGUAACCUUGCAUGAAAAGUUAAAAAAUUAUAAGGGAUAUAGAGGACAAAUGGCUAUGAGGUAUGUAGAUAACUAUUAUGGGUACGUGCAAAUCUUUACUGAUGGAUCAAAACAACCAGAUACAGGGAAAGUGGCAAUCGCAUAUGUGAUACCAGAGUUUGAUAUUAAGUUUUCUGCAAGAGUUUCGUAUCACCUAUCAGUGUACACAGCAGAGCUAAUAGCAAUUGUAAUGGCGUUGCAGUGGGUAGAGCAAAUGAAACCACUAAGAGUAGUUGUAUGUUCAGAUUCGUUGUCAGCCUUAGAAAAUUUUAAAUCAGGUAACUCAAAUGAAAGGUAUGAUAUUGUGUGUGAGAUAUUGACUUUGAUUCAUAGUAUUCAAAAUGGGGGGACGCAUGUAAAGUUUGUGUGGGUUCCGGCUCAUGUAGGUAUGGUUGGUAAUGAGUUGGCAGACAAGUUUGCUAAACAGGCUUUGAAAGCAACAAAUGUGUCUAUUCAGUGUAAAAUAUCAAAGGCAGAGGCUAAGUCAAUGAUUAAAAAACAUGUUAAAAAGUUAUGGCAAGAUAAAUGGGAUAGGGGAGAUAAAGGGAGGGGCUUUUACAGUGUAAACCCUGAGGUUGGUCAGGGCCGUUUGAUAAGAAGAUGUCGAAGAGAAGAGGCAAUUUUUACAAGAAUGAGAAUAGGACACACUGGACUGAACAAAAAAUUGCAGAUGAUAGGAAAGCAUAAUUCAGGAAAUUGUGGGAGCUGUAAUGUGCCAGAAACAGUGGAACAUGUCUUUAUGAUUUGUAGGAAAUUUAAUAGAGAAAGGUCUUUAAUUAAAAGGAAAAUAGAGGAUAGUGGGGAAAGUUUUAACUUUAGAAAUAUUUUGUCUAAGGCUUCCGAUCAUAAAGUAAUAAAGUAUAUGUUUGAAUUUUUAAAGAACACCGGACUCAUUGAUAGAAUAUAGGGAAGUUAUUUAUUUGAAAGGAAAUUUAGACAGAUGGAUUACUAUAAGUUUUUUUUUUUUUUUUUUUUUUUUUUUUAUGUGGCUUGCAGGCUACAUUAUUUUCAAAGAUAUAAACCAUAGUGGUGAUUAGGCACAAUUUAACUGGAGGGUGGCGGUAGUGCGCUAAGUUAGUCCGCAUCCGCCGUUAAACAACCAAAGAAGAAGAAGAAGAAGAAGAAGAAGAAGAAGAAGAAGAAGAAGUCGUCGUCGUCGUCGACCUUGAGCACCACCGGCAAAGACUUUCUCCAGAUUCUCAGGCAGUGUGUUCUGUCGGGGUUAGGGCAUAGAAAGUACAGUUUGAACAAUAUAAAAACCAUUACGCCACUGGAGAGUCCCCCGCAAACCAACAUAUACAAGUGU
This is an RNA transcript of Carassius auratus (goldfish), 2060 nucleotides long. It is a transcript of the gene named transmembrane protein 14Ca, with no coding region annotated. The record is from RefSeq and is a predicted model, not a curated record. Lineage: Eukaryota; Metazoa; Chordata; Actinopteri; Cypriniformes; Cyprinidae. The transcript has 2 exons.